This is a long non-coding RNA of Mesocricetus auratus (golden hamster), 416 nucleotides long. RefSeq lists it as uncharacterized. The transcript has 3 exons. The record is from RefSeq and is a predicted model, not a curated record. Lineage: Eukaryota; Metazoa; Chordata; Mammalia; Rodentia; Cricetidae.
AUCUUUCCAAGCCUCUUCAGCAAUGAGCUAUAAGGGGUGGGAUAAAUGUCUUAUUUAGGGAUGAGCCCUUAACCAUCCUUUAUUUUCAGCAUUUCGUGUAGCCAUGGGCCCCUUGGAUUCACCUCCUUUUGCUGUGAAAAGAGUUUCUCUGAUUAAGUCUGAGAGAAGCUUUUAUCUGUGGGUGUGCCUGUACUCACAUUAACAAUGUUUUCUGGCAGAGCUCACUACCUCACAUAGGAAUCACAGGAUCCCUUAGACCUGAAUUGCAGCACUUCUAAAGACGUCCAACAGACUAACAUAUUAUUUACAAAGUAGUGUGUUAUGGCAACGUACUUAAUGCAAGUCACAACAGGCUGAGACUCAACACAGAAGUACAGGGUGUCAAAACAGGAAAUGUAAUCAUCUGUCAAUAAAGA